UACGGAGGGUGCAAGCGUUAUCCGGAUUUAUUGGGUUUAAAGGGUCCGUAGGCGGAUCUGUAAGUCAGUGGUGAAAUCUCACAGCUUAACUGUGAAACUGCCAUUGAUACUGCAGGUCUUGAGUGUUAUUGAAGUAGCUGGAAUAAGUAGUGUAGCGGUGAAAUGCAUAGAUAUUACUUAGAACACCAAUUGCGAAGGCAGGUUACUAGGCAACAACUGACGCUGAUGGACGAAAGCGUGGGGAGCGAACAGG
Molecule: ribosomal RNA, 253 nt
Filed under: uncultured bacterium
Lineage: Bacteria
Description: partial 16S ribosomal RNA
Rfam family: Bacterial small subunit ribosomal RNA
Source: RNAcentral